UAAGGAAUAUUGGUCAAUGGACGCAAGUCUGAACCAGCCAUGCCGCGUGAAGGAUGAAGGUCCUCUGGAUUGUAAACUUCUUUUAUCUGGGACGAAAACGGGAUUUUUAUCUCAAUUGACGGUACCAGAGGAAUAAGCACCGGCUAACUUCGUGCCAGCAGCCGCGGUAAUACGAAGGGUGCAAGCGUUAAUCGGAAUUACUGGGCGUAAAGCGCGCGUAGGUGGUUUGGUAAGAUGGAUGUGAAAUCCCCGGGCUCAACCUGGGAACUGCAUCCAUAACUGCCUGACUAGAGUACGGUAGAGNGUGGUGGAAUUUCCUGUGUAGCGGUGAAAUGCGUAGAUAUAGGAAGGAACACCAGUGGCGAAGGCGACCACCUGGACUGAUACUGACACUGAGGUGCGAAAGCGUGGGGAGCAAACA
Molecule: ribosomal RNA, 421 nt
Filed under: uncultured bacterium
Lineage: Bacteria
Description: bacterial SSU rRNA
Rfam family: Bacterial small subunit ribosomal RNA
Source: RNAcentral